RNAcentral lists this ribosomal RNA (254 nucleotides) under uncultured bacterium. RNAcentral's name for it is "partial 16S ribosomal RNA". It matches the Rfam family "Bacterial small subunit ribosomal RNA", at positions 524 to 776 of the family's 1533-position model. The record is from RNAcentral.
UACGAAGGGGGCUAGCGUUGCUCGGAAUUACUGGGCGUAAAGGGCGCGUAGGCGGAUACUUAAGUCGGGGGUGAAAGCCCAGGGCUCAACCCCGGAACAGCCUUCGAUACUGGGUAUCUUGAGUACGGGAGAGGUGUGUGGAACUCCGAGUGUAGAGGUGAAAUUCGUAGAUAUUCGGAGGAACACCAGAAGCGAAGGCGGCUCACUGGCCCGAUACUGACCGCUGAGGCGCGAAAGCGUGGGGAGCAAACAGG